RNAcentral lists this non-coding RNA (25 nucleotides) under Mus musculus (house mouse). Lineage: Eukaryota; Metazoa; Chordata; Mammalia; Rodentia; Muridae. The record is from RNAcentral.
UGCUGAAGGGCUUUGGCAAAGACGG